Molecule: ribosomal RNA, 1020 nt
Filed under: Triticum aestivum (bread wheat)
Lineage: Eukaryota; Viridiplantae; Streptophyta; Magnoliopsida; Poales; Poaceae
Description: partial small subunit ribosomal RNA
Source: RNAcentral
AUGGCAUCAGAUGCUCCCGAUCGGAUCAACCCCUUUGCUCCGAUCCCCGAUCCCUCUUCCGCUGCCCCCGACGGCACCGCCGCCGCCCCUGGCGACGCGCCCAUGCCUGGCGAUGCGCCCACUAACGCCUCUGCGUCCGCCGUCGCCCCACCACCUGCCCUUACCACCCUGCCUGUGGCUCUUCCCGUCCCUCCUCAGGCGGUUGUACCCACUGCUGCUCCCCUCCCUGGCUCCGUGCUCCAGACGAUCGACAUCCUCCGGCAUGUGCCGGUCACCCUGGACCUCCUCGCCGGCAACUACGCGCAGUGGCGUCGCCACUUCGACAUGGCGAUCGGCAUGUUUGGUCUCCGUGACCAUGUUGACGCCGCGGCUCUCCCACGCUUCGAUGACCCCGAAUGGGCCAUGGCGGACCACGCCGUCGUCCACUGGCUCAACACCACCGUCUCCCCCGAGCUUCUAGACGCGGUGAUGCAGAACGAGGACACUGCACUCACGGUGUGGACGGCGAUCAAUGCCAUCUUCCGGGACAACCAGCUUGCCCGGGCCGUCUACGUCGACGCCGAGUACCACGCCGUCGUCCAGGGCGAUAUGACGAUCAUGCAGUACUGCACCAAGCUCAAGACCUACGUCGACCAGCUGUGUGACCUGGGGCAGCCCGUGUCCGAGCCGCAGCAGGUAUUCCAUCUCCUCCGCGGGCUCGGGCGGCAGUUCCAUGGCGCCAUCCCCCACAUCACCUCGCGCUCGCCGCUCCCCACCUUCCUCCAACCGCGCUCCUUUCUUCUUCUCGAGGAACACCGUGGUGAUCAGGCCGCGUGCAUCCAGGGCGAGCACGCGCUCGUCGCCGGGCGUGGGCACACCGCCCCCCCUCCGGUCGCUCCCGCAUCCGCCGCACCUGACGGUUCUGCCGCGCGUGGCCGUGGCCGCGGACGCCGCCGUGGCCGUGGCAACGGCAACCCUGGUGGCCAGCCUGCCGCCCCCCUCGCCGCCACGUCUUCCUGGGCUCCCUGCUCCGGCGCCUAG